GCAGCGACGUCUCAUACUGCAGUCGCACGCACAGCGUGGGUGCUUGCACCUUUCAGUGAGUGGCGAACGGGUGAGUAACACGUGGACAACCUGCCUCAAGGCUGGGGAUAACAUUUGGAAACAGAUGCUAAUACCGAAUGAAACUUAGUGUCGCAUGACACGAAGUUAAAAGGCGCUUUGGCGUCACCUAGAGAUGGAUCCGCGGUGCAUUAGUUAGUUGGUGGGGGGCAGCCCUACCAAGACAAUGAUGCAUAGCUGAGUUGAGAGACUGAUCGGCCACAUUGCCGACUGAAACCAUCAAAAAAACUUUAUGGGGGAGGGUGCAGUUCCGAAAUCUGCCAAAAUCGGCGAAAGCCUGAUGGAGCAGCGCCGCGUGUGUUUUGGAGCGCUUUCGGCUCGUAUAGCACUGUUGAAUGCUAAGAACAGCUAGAAUAGUUGAAUGAUUUUAGUUUGACGGAACCAUACCAGAAAGGAACGGCUAACUACGCGCGAGCAGCCGCGGUAACCACGUAUGUCCCGAGCGUUAUUCGGGAUUUAUUGAGCGUAAAGCGAGCGCUUACGUUUGAUUAAGUCUGAUGUGAAAGCUGGAGCUCGGCUCCGGAAUGGCAUUGAAAACUGGUUAACUUGAGUGCAGUAGAGGUCAGUGGAACUCCGUGUGUAGCGAUGUAAUGCGAAGAUAUAUGGGAGGAACACCAGUGUCGAGGCGGCUUACUGGAUUGUAACUUGAAGUUGAGGCUCGCAGUGUGAUUGCUACCCGGAGUAGAUACCCUGGUAGUCCACACCGUAAACGAUGAAGACUAUUGUGUCUAUGCAGGUGUGCCCGACCUCUAACGCUAGAAGCUCACCGCCAUUGAGGUGUUCCCGCCCCCGGGGGAGUACCACUCGCAAAGAUUUGAUAGUGCAAGCGCGAACUAGACGGGGACCCGGACGAGGGCUGAUGUAGCAUGGAGCCUAAAUCCGAAGCCACGCGCGUUAGGACUCUUACCUAGGUCUUGACAUUCAGUUGAGAAGGCUUCUCUCAGAUAAAAGUGUACCUCUCGGGGACGAGGUGACUGGGCGUCGCACUGGGCCGAUCGUCAGUCUAGGUUCCGGACAUGUGUGCCAUCAGACUCGUAACGAGGGCUAA
RNAcentral lists this ribosomal RNA (1126 nucleotides) under Leuconostoc pseudomesenteroides. RNAcentral describes it as "bacterial SSU rRNA". The stretch from base 1 to 849 matches the Rfam family "Bacterial small subunit ribosomal RNA", at positions 39 to 873 of the family's 1533-position model. Lineage: Bacteria; Bacillati; Bacillota; Bacilli; Lactobacillales; Lactobacillaceae. The record is from RNAcentral.